CCGGAAAAAGAGGAGUGGCGAACGGGUGAGUAACACGUGGGUAACCUGCCCAUCAGAAGGGGAUAACACUUGGAAACAGGUGCUAAUACCGUAUAACAAUCGAAACCGCAUGGUUUUGAUUUGAAAGGCGCUUUCGGGUGUCGCUGAUGGAUGGACCCGCGGUGCAUUAGCUAGUUGGUGAGGUAACGGCUCACCAAGGCGACGAUGCAUAGCCGACCUGAGAGGGUGAUCGGCCACAUUGGGACUGAGACACGGCCCAAACUCCUACGGGAGGCAGCAGUAGGGAAUCUUCGGCAAUGGACGAAAGUCUGACCGAGCAACGCCGCGUGAGUGAAGAAGGUUUUCGGAUCGUAAAACUCUGUUGUUAGAGAAGAACAAGGAUGAGAGUAACUGUUCAUCCCUUGACGGUAUCUAACCAGAAAGCCACGGCUAACUACGUGCCAGCAGCCGCGGUAAUACGUAGGUGGCAAGCGUUGUCCGGAUUUAUUGGGCGUAAAGCGAGCGCAGGCGGUUUCUUAAGUCUGAUGUGAAAGCCCCCGGCUCAACCGGGGAGGGUCAUUGGAAACUGGGAGACUUGAGUGCAGAAGAGGAGAGUGGAAUUCCAUGUGUAGCGGUGAAAUGCGUAGAUAUAUGGAGGAACACCAGUGGCGAAGGCGGCUCUCUGGUCUGUAACUGACGCUGAGGCUCGAAAGCGUGGGGAGCAAACAGGAUUAGAUACCCUGGUAGUCCACGCCGUAAACGAUGAGUGCUAAGUGUUGGAGGGUUUCCGCCCUUCAGUGCUGCAGCUAACGCAUUAAGCACUCCGCCUGGGGAGUACGACCGCAAGGUUGAAACUCAAAGGAAUUGACGGGGGCCCGCACAAGCGGUGGAGCAUGUGGUUUAAUUCGAAGCAACGCGAAGAACCUUACCAGGUCUUGACAUCCUUUGACCACUCUAGAGAUAGAGCUUCCCCUUCGGGGGCAAAGUGACAGGUGGUGCAUGGUUGUCGUCAGCUCGUGUCGUGAGAUGUUGGGUUAAGUCCCGCAACGAGCGCAACCCUUAUUGUUAGUUGCCAUCAUUUAGUUGGGCACUCUAGCAAGACUGCCG
Molecule: ribosomal RNA, 1086 nt
Filed under: Enterococcus sp.
Lineage: Bacteria; Bacillati; Bacillota; Bacilli; Lactobacillales; Enterococcaceae
Description: bacterial SSU rRNA
Rfam family: Bacterial small subunit ribosomal RNA
Source: RNAcentral